AUCUGGGGUGUUGAGGUUCAUGGUUUAUUGAAAAGCAACUGGAAAUCAUUUUGUAUGCAAGUGUGACAUGUGUGGAGAAGAACCUCCUAGCUAGCCUUCCAUCCAUUCAAUUUAACCAAAUUCGUCCAAAAAUCUGUUUAGUUUACAACUUGUUUGUUUUGUUUUCAAAUUCGUCAAAAUCAAUCCCCCCGCCCUUACUUUGUUGAGGCAUAUUAGUUAGAAAGUGAUUUUGUUUGUGUUUUUAAGUGUUUUGAACCAAGUUACAACCUAUUUUCGUCCAAAUUCUUUAUUAGUGGCAGAUUUGAGUCUUUUAGCUUGUUUUGAGCUGUUUUGAGUCUUUUGAGUUGUUUUAGUGUUUUAUAGUUUAGUUUUGCAUUCUUUGAGUCUAGUUUAGUGUUUUAAACUUUGUUUUACGUUUUUGAGUCAGUUUCAAGUGUUUUAGCAAUCCCUCCUAAUCCCCGGCCUAGAACGAUCCCUACUUACAUUCUUUACUACAAUUGAUAAAAAGAGGGUUUAAUUUGUGUUCUUAUAUAUUUUGCAUCACAUUCAUCCAGACAACUAAGUUUCCCACAUUCCUACCUAAUCACGUGUUUAAUUGAAUCAGUCACAUGUAUUAAGAAACAUGAUUUAAUUAACUCAUAUAUGAGGACAAUAUCAAUAAGAUUAUCCAUAAGUAAAACAUACACCAAACUUGAAUUCAAGAAGAUAUAAAAAUGUUCACAAAGUAAAUCAAAGUUACUAGGGUGGAUUCGGCCAACAAGGCCAUCCAUGUCAAAAUUCUACUCUUCCAAGGAUGUUUCGUGGAGGAAAAUUAGUCUCACAUAUUGACUAGUACUCGUUAACAACAUUGGUAGGGGCACAAACAGGUGCAUAACCAAUGAUCUAUUCCAUCAAGACGGAAGUAGUUUCUGCAAGGUUUGCAAGGUUGAGGUUUGGAAAUAUUAUCCCAUAUUCUUGAAGUUUUAGGUCUUAGGUGCCAAGGAUCAUGCUCCGAGCAUGAUGCCACACCUUGGCAGGCCCUAGUUCUACCAUAUGUUUGUGGUAGUAAUCAGAUCCGAGAAUUUGGUAAACUUCCGCUUUCUACACUUGUUGCUUCAGGAGCGAGUUAGAAACAAGGAAGGAUGAGAAAAGUAUUCUUGAGUCAAAAUUUGAUGGAUUUAUAAACUUCAGAAUUGUACUCAUUCAUGGACGUAAUCAUGGUGUGCUUCAGGCAAUGUCUUUCAUGAUUAGACAAUCUGUAUGAGCGAGCCAAAGAGCCAUGGAAUCCUCGUUCGGGAGGUAUUUCCAUUUGUAAUGCUUGAGGCUUAAGUUUUUUAAUGAAGAUCAUGGCGGAGGCUUAUUCAGCUCUUCCUUGCCAUUGUUGGCUUCAACAGUUUCUCAACUUCUUAAUAGUCACGUGGAGAUUCACGUCUUGUACCCCACAUAAAGUGGUUUCUAAUAGAAACGUCCAAAUCAGGAAAAUCAAACUUGUGAUGGUUCGACAAUCCACUGAAUUGGAUGGAACAAGAUUGUGAUUAAUGCUAUGGGAAGGAAUCAUCCAUAAGCAUCAAAGUUAGAAUAUUUGAGUUCUAAGACAUGGUUUUCAUGAAACAACUUCAAGUUUUCAUGGGUGUAUUGUUUUAUGAAAACUUUGGGUUUCAAAGGCACUAAAUUUGAAACUACAAGUUCAAUUUAGUUUAUGAACGUUUAGUUCAUAAAAGAGAGGUUCCUGCAAGAACACAUAAUGCAAUAUGCUGAUUUAAGUCUAGUGGAUUUGAGGUUCUUCGAGAACUCAAGUGUGAGAGCUUCAUUACUUCGAAAGCAUGUCAUGGUUCAAAGUAUAAAAAUAAAUUAUUGAAUCAUUAAUGUCCAAAAGUGAUUUCAGUUCAAUAAUUUUGGAUUCAUUAUCAUAUUAAUGGACUGCAUGUCAUUUUUAAUUAAUUCAAUAAAUCGAGCCAUACAGGGUUGAU
RNAcentral lists this long non-coding RNA (1949 nucleotides) under Malus domestica (apple). RNAcentral's name for it is "long non-coding RNA (MDOM_LNC012872)". Lineage: Eukaryota; Viridiplantae; Streptophyta; Magnoliopsida; Rosales; Rosaceae. The record is from RNAcentral.